GCAGUGGUGGUUCAGUGGUAGAAUUCUCGCCUUCCGUGCCAAAGACCUGUGUUCAAUUCUGGCCAAUGCA
RNAcentral lists this transfer RNA (70 nucleotides) under Loxodonta africana (African savanna elephant). It matches the Rfam family "tRNA". From Rfam's summary of the family: Transfer RNA (tRNA) molecules are approximately 80 nucleotides in length. Their secondary structure includes four short double-helical elements and three loops (D, anti-codon, and T loops). The record is from Rfam by way of RNAcentral. Lineage: Eukaryota; Metazoa; Chordata; Mammalia; Proboscidea; Elephantidae.